GAAUGAAAUAAAUUAUUAUUAUUUAAAAUUUAAUUUAUUUUAAAAAAAAUAGUUUUAUAUUUAUUAUAUGUUAGAAAAAUAUAAUUUUAUUAUAGUAAAUUUGUAUUGUAAUAGAUAUUAUUAUAUACUAAAAAGAAAAUUUUAAAUUUUGUACCUUGUGUAUCAGGGUUUAUUAAAAAUUAAUUAAUUAUUUAAUAUUCUCGAAUUUAAAUGAGUUAAUUUAUUAUUAAUUUUAAUGUAGAAUAAUUAUUUAAAAUAAUAAAUUAGUAAUGAAACGUUAUUCGUAUUUAAAUAUAUCUAGUUUUUAAAGAAAAAAGUUUAAUUUUUUUUAAAAUAUAAAAUUUAUUGAUUUAUAAAUAAAUUUUUGUUUUAUUUUUAUUUUAAAGGGGAUAAGCUCUUUAAAAAAAUUAUAUAAUUAAUUGAAUUUUUAAUAAAAUAUAAAAUUAAAAGUAUUUAUAUAUGGUAAAAUGUUAUAAUAAAGUUAUUUAUUUAUUUAAUUUUUAUAAAAUUUAUAUAUGUUAUUUAAAAAUUUUUUAAAAUUAUAAUUAUAAAGGUAUAAUGAUAAAAUUAGUAAAAUUAAAUUUAUUUAAUUUAAGUUUAAUGAGAUGAAUAUAAGGAAUUCGGCAAAAUUUUUGUUUACCUGUUUAUUAAAAACAUGGCCUUUUGAUUAUAAUUUAAGGUCUAAUCUGCCCACUGNAAAUUUUAAAUGGCCGCAGUAUUUUGACUGUGCUAAGGUAGCAUAAUAAAUAGUUUUUUAAUUGAAAGCUGGUAUGAAUGAUUGGAUAAGAUAAAAGCUGUCUUAUAUUUAAUAAUUGAAUUUUAUUUUUAAGUUAAAAAGCUUAAAUAAAGUUAAAAGACGAGAAGACCCUAUAGAGUUUUAUAAAAUUUUUUAUUAUUAAUUUUUUUAUAUUAUAUAUUUUAUUAAAAAAUUUUUAUUUUGUUGGGGUGAUUUAAAAAUUUAAUUAACUUUUUUUUUAUUUUAACAUUUUUAUAUGUUUUAUUGAUCCAUUAUUAAUGAUUAAAAGAAUAAAUUACCUUAGGGAUAACAGCGUAAUUAUUUUUAAGAGUUCUUAUCAAAAAAGUAGAUUGCGACCUCGAUGUUGGAUUAAAGUUUAAUAUUGGUGUAGAAGCUAGUAUAUUAAGUCUGUUCGACUUUUAAAACUUU
RNAcentral lists this ribosomal RNA (1165 nucleotides) under Carphurus sp. 1 NLG-2013. RNAcentral describes it as "partial 16S ribosomal RNA". Lineage: Eukaryota; Metazoa; Arthropoda; Insecta; Coleoptera; Melyridae. The record is from RNAcentral.